UGUAGUACUUGAACGCUGAAGUGGCCCUCCUACAAGAUGACAGUAUGAGCAGUGGCCCCCGGUGAUUCGGAGUUUGGGACCCCUGCUGUAGAUCAACAGAUGUAUCUGCCCGUGGCUCCGGUAAGAACAGCAUUAAGAAUAAGAAUGAACGUGUUCACCAUGACGUGAGCGUUUAAGUAUUGAAGUCCAGGGGGCGAAACGCAGACUUCAUCGUGUUCAAUCACAUUCCAUUUUUUUCCUCCUCAGAGCAGCUGAGGUCAUGGUGCGUACACUAAACAGAGUUUUCAAAGCUUUCAGUCCUGGCAGUGUUAAGAGGAAGAGAGGGCAGUUCAAGACGAAGCAAAACAUCAUUUAAGUCACCGGAUAAUCAUCAGACUUGUCUCGAAUAAACUUCAAAA
Molecule: long non-coding RNA, 398 nt
Organism: Acanthopagrus latus (yellowfin seabream)
Lineage: Eukaryota; Metazoa; Chordata; Actinopteri; Spariformes; Sparidae
Exons: 3
Source: RefSeq, a predicted model, not a curated record